CUGAUGCUGGCACCAAUACUUGAAUCUUUUCCUUGUUCUCUGUCUGUCAGACUCCUGAUAAGCGCUGGCUACUCUCAAUACAAGGCUGAUUCUCAGUGAAUGCUUUAUAUGAGAACACUUUAAAGGUACUUUUUCUCCUUGUGAUCCUUCUCUCUGCUUUUUUGACAUUACUGGUCUACUCCUGCUUUAUACUUAUAUUUCUAUGUGAUCACUUUACACAGCAUCAGCCAGCAGCCGCUCUGCACAAUUAAUAUACUGCCUGCCAGGAUUUAUUUCCCUCCUGACUCCAUAUUGAACAUGUAUACCUCUAAUUGUAGCAACAAAUGAUUGAUUAGCACUACGUGCUUUCUGUCCUCGAUCCGCCUGCUUACCUUUUGGGGCUGUAUAGUGCCUACCCUCUCUGUGGCCAGUGAGAUGAAUCACCAAGGAGAUUGAGAUCCUUUAUAUAUACAUUAACAUACGUCCCUGAGGAAGCCCGAAUGGGCGAAACGUGUUGGACAGUCUACUGUAUAUAAUAUCUCAACAAUCAACUAUUGGUGAAACCAAAUACAAUAUGUGAUUUUAUUCCAUUUUUGUAUGUAUAUAAUAUGUAAGAUUAAAAUAUAUUUUUUUAUUGGUAAAACUGUUUCUGGUGUACGGUUCCU
This is a long non-coding RNA of Rana temporaria (common frog), 644 nucleotides long. RefSeq lists it as uncharacterized. NCBI's taxonomy places the organism in Eukaryota, Metazoa, Chordata, Amphibia, Anura, Ranidae. The record is from RefSeq and is a predicted model, not a curated record. The transcript has 3 exons.